UACGGAGGGUGCGAGCGUUGUCCGGAAUCAUUGGGCGUAAAGGGCGCGUAGGUGGCCUGCUAAGCGUGCGGUGAAAGUCGGGGGCUCAACCCCCGAUCGGCCGUGCGAACUGGGAGGCUUGAGCACUGUAGAGGCAGGCGGAAUUCCGGGUGUAGCGGUGGAAUGCGUAGAGAUCCGGAAGAACACCGGUGGCGAAGGCGGGCUGCUGGGCAGUUUUGCUGACACUGAGGCGCGACAGCGUGGGGAGCAAACAGG
Molecule: ribosomal RNA, 255 nt
Filed under: uncultured bacterium
Lineage: Bacteria
Description: partial 16S ribosomal RNA
Rfam family: Bacterial small subunit ribosomal RNA
Source: RNAcentral